CAAUAGCGUAUAUUAAAGUUGUUGCAGUUAAAAAGCUCGUAGUUGGAUCUGUGGUGUGCGGUGGGCUCCGGGCACUUGUUGUCUGAGCAGCUCGCCGCUGCCAUCCUUGGGUGGAACCUGUGUGGCAUUAGGUUGUCGUGCAGGGGAUGCCCAUCGUUUACUGUGAAAAAAUUAGAGUGUUCAAAGCAGGCUUAUGCCGUUGAAUAUAUUAGCAUGGAAUAAUGAGAUAGGACUUUUUCGCUAUUUUGUUGGUUUGCGCGAAGAGGUAAUGAUUAAUAGGGACAGUUGGGGGUAUUCGUAUUCCAUUGUCAGAGGUGAAAUUCUUGGAUUUUUGGAAGACGAACUACUGCGAAAGCAUUUACCAAGGAUGUUUUCAUUAA
Molecule: ribosomal RNA, 380 nt
Filed under: uncultured eukaryote
Lineage: Eukaryota
Description: partial 18S ribosomal RNA
Rfam family: Eukaryotic small subunit ribosomal RNA
Source: RNAcentral